This 252-nucleotide ribosomal RNA is filed under the name uncultured bacterium. RNAcentral's name for it is "partial 16S ribosomal RNA". It matches the Rfam family "Bacterial small subunit ribosomal RNA", at positions 524 to 776 of the family's 1533-position model. The record is from RNAcentral.
UACGUAGGUGACCAGCGUUGUCCGGAUUUACUGGGCGUAAAGAGCGCGCAGGCGGUCGUUCAAGUCGAGUGUGAAAGCCCCCGGCUCAACUGGGGGGGUCAUUCGAUACUGAUCGACUGGAAGGCAGGAGAGGGAAGCGGAAUUCCCGGUGUAGUGGUGAAAUGCGUAGAUAUCGGGAGGAAUACCAGUGGCGAAGGCGGCUUCCUGGCCUGUUCUUGACGCUGAGGCGCGAAAGCUAGGGUAGCAAACGGG